This 517-nucleotide ribosomal RNA is filed under the name uncultured bacterium. Its description in RNAcentral is "bacterial SSU rRNA". It matches the Rfam family "Bacterial small subunit ribosomal RNA", at positions 992 to 1509 of the family's 1533-position model. The record is from RNAcentral.
AGAACUUAGCAGAGAUGCUUUGGUGCCUUCGGGAACUCUGAGACAGGUGCUGCAUGGCUGUCGUCAGCUCGUGUUGUGAAAUGUUGGGUUAAGUCCCGCAACGAGCGCAACCCUUAUCCUUUGUUGCCAGCGGUCCGGCCGGGAACUCAAAGGAGACUGCCAGUGAUAAACUGGAGGAAGGUGGGGAUGACGUCAAGUCAUCAUGGCCCUUACGAGUAGGGCUACACACGUGCUACAAUGGCGCAUACAAAGAGAAGCGACCUCGCGAGAGCAAGCGGACCUCAUAAAGUGCGUCGUAGUCCGGAUUGGAGUCUGCAACUCGACUCCAUGAAGUCGGAAUCGCUAGUAAUCGUGGAUCAGAAUGCCACGGUGAAUACGUUCCCGGGCCUUGUACACACCGCCCGUCACACCAUGGGAGUGGGUUGCAAAAGAAGUAGGUAGCUUAGCCUUCGGGAGGGCGCUUACCACUUUGUGAUUCAUGACUGGGGUGAAGUCGUAACAAGGUAAGCGUAGUGCU